This 219-nucleotide unclassified non-coding RNA is filed under the name Hevea brasiliensis (rubber tree). The record is from RNAcentral. Lineage: Eukaryota; Viridiplantae; Streptophyta; Magnoliopsida; Malpighiales; Euphorbiaceae.
AAAGAACAUAUAUUUUUUUUAAAUGAAGGCAGAGGAAAAAGUGUUUCAUACAAAAGAGAAUUGACAAUCGGCAUCUGAAGAUGCAAAUGCUUCAGAUAAACAAGAAACUUGUAUAUUUCAUACAACUUUAAAUCUCCAACUCCCUAAACUGCAGUGAGACUACCUACAAAUAGAAGAAAAAGCAAAGCAGCAUACCUACAACGUUGCUCUGAUGUACUA